GGCGGAAUAGAGGGGGCAAACUAUUAGACUCUAACCAAUCCACCGCCCCUCGUGCCUCUCCUUGGCAACCUCAUAGGGUUAUGGCUGUCAUGACAACAUCAGACCCUCUUUUCCUCUUCUCCACCUCUCGUACUCGACGGACGCAAUCGGGUUGCCCAGCGGGGAAAUUUUAGUAGGUGUUGACUGCUUCGGAGCUUAUUUCUUCUCUCCUCCAUGCGUACAGAUCAUGACGAUUUGGAAGGUUAGCUGUAACUAUCUCUGUUAUUUCUCGUGUAUGGAAGUGUUCGUCAAACCCUCGAUUGGAAGAAGGUGACCGUGCCCCGAUGGAUGAACCAAUUGCUUGCGUCGGUCGCAGAGGAGUUGGUGUCGAGGAAGGAUGGCUGCAGACGCAACGUCAAUUGACUCGGACGAGGACAUGUCUCUGCUGAGUGAACGUGUCAUGUCGUUUUGUCCGAUUCAACGCAAGCUUUGUGUUCUUUUUC
Molecule: long non-coding RNA, 482 nt
Organism: Musa acuminata AAA Group (dessert banana)
Lineage: Eukaryota; Viridiplantae; Streptophyta; Magnoliopsida; Zingiberales; Musaceae
Exons: 2
Source: RefSeq, a predicted model, not a curated record